Schistocerca gregaria is the source of this 641-nucleotide long non-coding RNA. RefSeq lists it as uncharacterized. The transcript has 2 exons. The record is from RefSeq and is a predicted model, not a curated record. NCBI's taxonomy places the organism in Eukaryota, Metazoa, Arthropoda, Insecta, Orthoptera, Acrididae.
AUGUCCUCUUGUUUAUAUUUUGAGGUCUGGCCUGCUCACUGAGCGUAUUUUUAAAGAGCCGCGGUAUUUUGACCGUGCAAAGGUAGCAUAAUCGUUAGUCUCUUAAUUAGUGGCUGGAAUGAAUGGCUUGACGAGAAAUCAACUGUCUCUUAAUAAAUUUUUGAAUUUAACUUUUGAGUCAAAAGGCUUAAAUUCUUCUUUAGGACGAGAAGACCCUAUAGAGCUUGACAUUUUACUUUUAUAUAGUUUUUUGUUUGUCUUUCUAUAUUUAAUGAUGAUGUUUUGUUGGGGUGACAUGAAGAAUAGAUAAACUCUUCAUUAUUAUAUCAUUUAUUUAUGUUUGUUAUUUUGAUCCAUAAUUUAUGAUCAUAAGAUUUAGUUACCUUAGGGAUAACAGCGUAAUUGUUUUUGAGAGCUCAUAUCGACAAAGCAGAUUGCGACCUCGAUGUUGGAUUAAGAAAAAUUUUGGGUGCAGGAGCCCAAUGAUUAGGUCUGUUCGACCUUUAAAUUCUUACAUGAUCUGAGUUCAGACCGGCGUGAGCCAGGUCGGUUUCUAUCCUAAGAUUGUUAAUCCAUAUUAGUACGAAAGGACCAUAUGGUUAAAAUAUUUUUUGUUAUAUUGAUUAAUAUUAAUUUAUUUA